UUUAAGAUGGCAGAUUAUAUGCGCUAGAUUUAGAUUCUAGAAAUGAGUAUUUAUAUUCUCUUAAAA
This 66-nucleotide transfer RNA is filed under the name Crassiplana albatrossi. RNAcentral's name for it is "tRNA-Leu". The record is from RNAcentral. Lineage: Eukaryota; Metazoa; Platyhelminthes; Polycladida; Callioplanidae.